RNAcentral lists this ribosomal RNA (429 nucleotides) under Pseudomonadota bacterium. Its description in RNAcentral is "Proteobacteria bacterium partial 16S ribosomal RNA". It matches the Rfam family "Bacterial small subunit ribosomal RNA", at positions 355 to 776 of the family's 1533-position model. Lineage: Bacteria; Pseudomonadati; Pseudomonadota. The record is from RNAcentral.
UGGGGAAUAUUGGACAAUGGGCGAAAGCCUGAUCCAGCCAUGCCGCGUGUGUGAAGAAGGUCUUCGGAUUGUAAAGCACUUUAAGUUGGGAGGAAGGGCAGUAAGCGAAUACCUUGCUGUUUUGACGUUACCGACAGAAUAAGCACCGGCUAACUCUGUGCCAGCAGCCGCGGUAAUACAGAGGGUGCAAGCGUUAAUCGGAAUUACUGGGCGUAAAGCGCGCGUAGGUGGUUCGUUAAGUUGAAUGUGAAAGCCCCGGGCUCAACCUGGGAACUGCAUCCAAAACAGGCGAGCUAUGGUAGGGCAGAAGGUGGUGGAAUUUCCUGUGUAGCGGUGAAAUGCGUAGAUAUAGGAAGGAAAACCAGUGGCGAAGGCGACCACCUGGGCUCAUACUGACACUGAGGUGCGAAAGCGUGGGGAGCAAACAGG